GACGAACGCUGGCGGCGUGCUUAACACAUGCGAGUCGAACGGAAAGGCCCUGCUUGCAGGGUACUCGAGUGGCGAACGGGUGAGUAACACGUGGGUGAUCUGCCCUGCACUUCGGGAUAAGCCUGGGAAACUGGGUCUAAUACCAGAUAGGAGCCAUUUUUAGUGUGAUGGUUGGAAAGUUUUUUCGGUGUAGGAUGAGCUCGCGGCCUAUCAGCUUGUUGGUGGGGUAAUGGCCUACCAAGGCGGCGACGGGUAGCCGGCCUGAGAGGGUGGACGGCCACAUUGGGACUGAGAUACGGCCCAGACUCCUACGGGAGGCAGCAGUGGGGAAUAUUGCACAAUGGGCGCAAGCCUGAUGCAGCGACGCCGCGUGGGGGAUGACGGCCUUCGGGUUGUAAACUCCUUUCGCUAGGGACGAAGCUUUUGUGACGGUACCUAGAUAAGAAGCACCGGCUAACUACGUG
Molecule: ribosomal RNA, 464 nt
Filed under: uncultured bacterium
Lineage: Bacteria
Description: partial 16S ribosomal RNA
Rfam family: Bacterial small subunit ribosomal RNA
Source: RNAcentral